Molecule: ribosomal RNA, 445 nt
Filed under: uncultured bacterium
Lineage: Bacteria
Description: bacterial SSU rRNA
Rfam family: Bacterial small subunit ribosomal RNA
Source: RNAcentral
CCUACGGGGUGCAGCAGUGGGGAAUAUUGCACAAUGGGCGCAAGCCUGAUGCAGCGACGCCGCGUGAGGGAUGACGGCCUUCGGGUUGUAAACCUCUUUCAGCACAGACGAAGCGCAAGUGACGGUAUGUGCAGAAGAAGGACCGGCCAACUACGUGCCAGCAGCCGCGGUAAUACGUAGGGUCCGAGCGUUGUCCGGAAUUACUGGGCGUAAAGAGCUCGUAGGUGGUUUGUCGCGUUGUUCGUGAAAACUCACAGCUUAACUGUGGGCGUGCGGGCGAUACGGGCAGACUGGAGUACUGCAGGGGAGACUGGAAUUCCUGGUGUAGCGGUGGAAUGCGCAGAUAUCAGGAGGAACACCGGUGGCGAAGGCGGGUCUCUGGGCAGUAACUGACGCUGAGGAGCGAAAGCGUGGGGAGCGAACAGGAUUAGAUACCCCGGUAGUC